AAUUUUGUUAGCUAUUAGCAGUUAAUUAUUUUUAAGGUAAACUUCAAAUACCAUCAAUGUGGUUUCGUACUUUCUCAUUUUAGUACCCGGUGUCUUAAAGUGUAUCAAUUUAGUAUCUCGUGGUUUCAUUUUUUUCUUUUCGUCAGUCCCUCUUCUAAUUUUUCGUUAAAUCAUGUACAAAAAACUUCAGAUAUCCCACCUAUAGUUUAUCAAUUAUUCACUUUACUGCCUUUUAGUUCUAAUUUUUUCACUGAUUUAAUGAAAAAAAUAGUAAAAGUAGAUAACAAAAAGAGAAAAUAAAAUCACAAGGUAUGGAAAUGACACAUCUUAAAUCACAUAAUAUUAAAGUGAGAAAAUGUGAAACUAUGGAGAUGAUAUUUAAAGUUUUUUUUUAUAAAUAAAUAAUGCUAUUAAAUGUUACGAAUAAAAAUAUAUUAAAUUAGGGGAAACUUCAAAUAACCUCUUAUGGUUUCGCACUUUUUCACUUUACUACCUUAUGGUUUAAAGUGUAUCAAGCUAGUACCCUGUGGUUUCACACUUUCUCACUUUACUACCCUGUGGUUUAAUAUUUCGUUAAAUUAUAUACCCCGAAAUGGGUGUUAAAAAGAGAAAACUGAAACCACAAGGUACUAACUUGAUACACUUGAAAUCACAUAGUACUAAACUGAAAAAGUAUGAAACCACAAGAUACUAACUUGAUAUACUUUAAAUUAUAUGGCACUAAAGUGAAAAAAUACGAAACCACGAAUUAUGCCACG
RNAcentral lists this long non-coding RNA (758 nucleotides) under Ananas comosus (pineapple). Its description in RNAcentral is "long non-coding RNA (ACOM_LNC001545)". The record is from RNAcentral. Lineage: Eukaryota; Viridiplantae; Streptophyta; Magnoliopsida; Poales; Bromeliaceae.